This 478-nucleotide ribosomal RNA is filed under the name uncultured bacterium. Its description in RNAcentral is "bacterial SSU rRNA". It matches the Rfam family "Bacterial small subunit ribosomal RNA", at positions 28 to 529 of the family's 1533-position model. The record is from RNAcentral.
AAUCAACGCUGGCGGCGUGCCUAACACAUGCAAGUCGGACGUGAAAGGGGUUUCGGCCCUGAGUAGCGUGGCGGACGGGUGAGGAACGCGUGGGUGACCUGCCCUGCAGAGGGGGAUAACCCUCCGAAAGGGGGGCUAAUACCGCAUGAGCCCGAGAGGGGAAAGACGGUGAGUCGCUGCGGGAGGGGCCUGCGUCCGAUUAGCUGGUUGGUGGGGUAAGAGCCCACCAAGGCGACGAUCGGUAGCCGGUCUGAGAGGACGGACGGCCACACUGGGACUGAGAUACGGCCCAGACUCCUACGGGAGGCAGCAGUGGGGAAUUUUGGGCAAUGGGCGAAAGCCUGACCCAGCAACGCCGCGUGGAGGAAGAAGGCCUUCGGGUUGUAAACUCCUGUCCCGAGGGACGAAGUAGGUGACGGUACCUUGGGAGGAAGCCCCGGCUAACUCCGUGCCAGCAGCCGCGGUAAACGUACUCGUA